UUGCCUUUGCUCUAGUAGCUUGAUGGUCUGCGAAGGCACUGUGAAGUGUAACGCGUGACGUGUUCGAUGCUUCGGGCAAAGGCACUGAGAGAGAGACAGAGAAGAGAACAAAGCAGUGCUACCUCUUAAUUGAGUAUUAAUUUAUAGAGGUUUUACUGUGUAUAAAAAUCAUAUGAGGUAUUCUAAAAUACCUCUCUUUUUUUCUUCAU
RNAcentral lists this small RNA (209 nucleotides) under Arabidopsis thaliana (thale cress). RNAcentral's name for it is "ATSL219230". The record is from RNAcentral. Lineage: Eukaryota; Viridiplantae; Streptophyta; Magnoliopsida; Brassicales; Brassicaceae.